This is a long non-coding RNA of Asparagus officinalis (garden asparagus), 3425 nucleotides long. RefSeq lists it as uncharacterized. The record is from RefSeq and is a predicted model, not a curated record. NCBI's taxonomy places the organism in Eukaryota, Viridiplantae, Streptophyta, Magnoliopsida, Asparagales, Asparagaceae. The transcript has 4 exons.
UCAUGCGGCCUAAUGCUACUCAUAACGUUUGAGCUGGAGGAACCCUCACUACUUUGCUUAGUCACUAUAGAACUAAAUCCGAGGGAGUAGAGGAAGCUCCAGGUCCCGUAAUAACCAUUUUUCCCCUUAAAUUUCUUCUUCUUCGCCAUCUAACUCAUCGCGAUGCGCAUAUUAGAGACACAUAAAUGACCAUUUAUAAAGCUCUUAUAAACUAAAGUGAAAAAAUAUUUACAUGUAUCAAAAUUGUAUAGAAAUAUAAGAGAUUAACUCAAUAAAACAUUUAAACAUUAAACAAAAUAAUUGACAUGACUGUUGUUCCUGGAAUUUAUGGAUAAUGAUAACAAAUAAUCAAUUAAGAUAGAAAAUAGAGAAUGAAGAUAUUGUAAACUUAAAUGGAUAACACUAUUGCGCUUCCGAAUUGCCUAGAAAUAUAAGGAUUUUACUCAGUCAAAAUUUUAAACUUAAACAAAAUAAUCAGGACAACCGUCGUUCUUGGAUUUUUUAUAUGACUUGAAAUAAACCAAUAAAUAAUCAACUAAAGUAGGAAAAUAGAGAAUAAAGUUGUCGCCGUGUAAUGGAGCACUUGUGAUAGUGUCAUAGGACAACCGCUUUUGCUAAUCGCGUAGAAAAUAAUGAUGUUGUGAACAAGUGGUAAAAACCUAUCCAGGUUACCCGUCUCUUCUGGCCACGUACUGUGAAAUUUAAGCAUUAUGCUCAAAGGAUGGGUCGGUUGAAAAUUAUAAAAUAAAGUUAGAGAGAAUAUAUCAGAGGAAAAAGUUUUUCAUUUUUAUCAUAUGGUUGUCCCUUUCAACCUCUUAAAACUGCCUUUACAUACAAAAGGAUAGCCCAUCACAUAUUAAUAGAGGCUGAAUGUUUUUUUUUUUUUGGUAAAUGAAAAUUUUUAUUCAUAACCAAAAUGUGAAAUAUGAGUACAUCAAAGACAUUCCAGUGAUAACUGGAAGAACAACUAUCUUGUUUUUUUACAAUUGCUCAAUUCUUUCUUUUAUGUGGAGAGGAACAUCAUCAUUGAGGACUUUAGAAAGAAUUAGAAGCUUCACUGUCUUAAACACAAAUUCAGUUCCUUUAGCUUCUUGCCGAAAAAUUCUUUGAUUCCUUUCUUUCCAUAUAGCAUAAACUGUGACUGAUAAUGCCAAUCAUUUAAGCUUUAUCAUGAACCCCUUCCUUUUCAGUCUCAUACUAAACCAUUGAAUGACACAUUCCCAGCUGCAAGAUUUCCACCUGAAAUUCAUCAUUCCAUAGCUCUGUUCCAGAUAGCUGCUGAGAAUUCACAUUCAAAGAAAAGAUGCCCGAUGGUUUCAUGCUUUUGAUGAGUGCAUAGAACACAGAAGUUAGUGUCAAGGAUCCCCAAGUGCAUAGAGGCUGAAUGUUGACCAUUAUAAAUGUAAUAAAAUUUAGUUUGUUAUAAUCGUCUACACUACUAUAUUUGCGAGAGUAAUAUAAAAAUGAACGAAUUAAAGGAGGACAUUUUCUUAUUUCAAUUAUAAUUUCUAGGGCAAAAAAUUAAUUUAAUAAGAGGCAUUUUUCUCUUUUUUUCCAUUCUCAUUCCCUUUUGUUUCUAAAUAUUCUGUAUCAUACAAAUAAUUUUUUCCUUCUUUUUUGUUUUCUAGAAUAUUCCAUACAAAACAAUACCAUAAACAUAUGUAGAAUUUGUUCCCAGGUAACAACAUGUCCAUAUGUCUUAGGUUCUAAAGGGAAUACAUAUAAAAUUUAAGAUUUUCUCCAGAAAAAAAAUAUUUUCAUCGUCAAGAAAUCGAAGAACUUAGUGGUAUGAAAUAUACAUAUUUUGAAAAUUAUAAGUUAUGUGCAUUAGGCAUGUGUAUUUUAUUCUACAACAAAGGAGCCCAUAGCUAGCAUUAACAGAAGAUGAACGAUGACCUUCAUAUUAUAAAAUUAAAUUUAUCAUAAUCAUAUAAACUACUAUAAAAAGAACAUUGUCACAGUAAUUAAAAAAAUAACUGAAAAAAGGACAUAUUCUUCUUUCAAUUAAUUUUAUUUACGAGUGCAAAAGUAACUUAAUUAAUGAAAGAUAUUUUUCUCCUUCUUCCCCUUUUCCUUUCUUUUUUGCUUCUAGAAUAUUUCAUGUCCAUAUCAAUACAAUACCAUAAACAUAGAAUUUGUUUCCAAAUCAUGUCCAUAUGUUUUAGGUUCUAAAAGGAAUACAAAUUAAAACUAUGAUUUUCUUUAGGGAAAAACAAUAUCAUCAUGGAUAAAUCAGAGAAUAUAAAAGUAUAUAAGUGUUUUGGAAAUUAUAACUUAUGCAUGGGCAUGCAUCUUGUUCUGCAAUGAAGGAAAUAAAACUUAUACAUAUUACAUUAAUAGAUGAUAAAGAUAUUAAUUUUCCAUAUAAAAUAAAAGGAUUAUUUGUUCGGAUUUAAUAUCUCUUAGUACAAUUGAAUCAACUACGUAAUUUUAACAUAUAGAAAUUUUUUAAAAUAAUUUUUCAUUCAUUCCCCUUCAAAACACCACUUGGCAAAAAUAACACGUGGCAAAAAAUAACACAUACCCUUAAAAAAGUCACGUGGCAUCAAUUUCGGUUCCCAACACGAGGCAACUUCUCCUUUAAAAUUUUCUUAAAAAAAAUUGAUUCAUCAAAUUUCAAUUUCCAAGCACAUUGCAAACGCCACCUUCUCUCUCAUAACAUCUAUUUCAAUUUUCCAAGCACAUUGCAAUUCCACCUUCUCUACUUCCGUAAUUAAUGCAUUGGGUUCUAGUUUUUUUUCGUAACUGUGCCAUCAUUUCCAAAGCUCCCAUCAAAAACUCAACCAUUCACGCCUCCCAUCAUUUCCAAAGCUCCCAUCAAAUACUCAACCAUUUCCAAAGGUCCCAUAAAAAACGCUACCUUCUCAGCUCGCUCGCCCGCCUCCGUUGGCAUAAAAAACGCUACCUUUCACAGUCUCAGCUCGCCGCCUUCGAUCCCGGCCGAUACGCCGCUCUCUAAUGAAUUGGCGGCAGCGUUUCCUCGCCGGAAGCAUCUCGGCCGCCUCCGCCGGCAGCGUAUCGGCCGCAACUCACCAUCCCUGCGGUCAACGUGAGGAAUCCGACUCCUACGAGGGCCUCGCCGCCGUCGGCCUCCGUGAAGAGAGAGCCUAAGAGUAGACCAUCGCCGCCGUAGCCGAAGGCGAAGAAGAAGCCAAAAAGGGUUCUUGAGAAGAGAGAGCGUGAGGAUUUGAUCCCAAGCAUUUGCAGUAGCUCGUCGCCUUGCACCAUUAGGAUCCAGGGCAGUACUCAAGGUUAUGGUAUCAACAGCUAUUGUGAUUCUUGUAGACAGAACUUAAGACCAACAAAUGGAGAAUUACAUGUCAAUGGUGUGACUGUUGAUGAUACACAAGAAUCACCAACAACCACUCAUCAGCCAUUUUCGAGUAGUGUAACCAAGAGAGUAACAAUUCAUGGACAUCAUCCCG